UGGGGAAUUUUGGACAAUGGGCGAAAGCCUGAUCCAGCAAUGCCGCGUGUGUGAAGAAGGCCUUCGGGUUGUAAAGCACUUUUGUCCGGAAAGAAAUCCUUGGCUCUAAUACAGUCGGGGGAUGACGGUACCGGAAGAAUAAGCACCGGCUAACUACGUGCCAGCAGCCGCGGUAAUACGUAGGGUGCAAGCGUUAAUCGGAAUUACUGGGCGUAAAGCGUGCGCAGGCGGUUUGCUAAGACCGAUGUGAAAUCCCCGGGCUCAACCUGGGAACUGCAUUGGUGACUGGCAGGCUAGAGUAUGGCAGAGGGGGGUAGAAUUCCACGUGUAGCAGUGAAAUGCGUAGAGAUGUGGAGGAAUACCGAUGGCGAAGGCAGCCCCCUGGGCCAAUACUGACGCUCAUGCACGAAAGCGUGGGGGAGCAAACAGGAUUAGAUACCCUGGUAGUCCACGCCCUAAAACGAUGUCAACUAGUUGUUGGGGGAUUCAUUUCCUUAGUAACGUAGCUAACGCGUGAAGUUGACCGCCUGGGGAGUACGGUCGCAAGAUUAAAACUCAAAGGAAUUGACGGGGUCAUAGCUGUUUCCU
This 588-nucleotide ribosomal RNA is filed under the name uncultured bacterium. RNAcentral describes it as "partial 16S ribosomal RNA". It matches the Rfam family "Bacterial small subunit ribosomal RNA", at positions 355 to 1375 of the family's 1533-position model. The record is from RNAcentral.